RNAcentral lists this unclassified non-coding RNA (311 nucleotides) under uncultured Megacapitula. RNAcentral's name for it is "sequence contains ITS1". The stretch from base 1 to 105 matches the Rfam family "5.8S ribosomal RNA", at positions 50 to 154 of the family's 154-position model. The record is from RNAcentral. Lineage: Eukaryota; Fungi; Ascomycota; Dothideomycetes; Pleosporales.
GAAAUGCGAUAAGUAGUAUGAAUUGCAGAAUUCCGUGAAUCAUCGAAUCUUUGAACGCACAUUGCGCCCUUUGGCAUUCCGAAGGGCAUACCUGUUCGAGCGUCAUUUCAAACCUCAAGCACGGCUUGGUCUUGGGUGUCUUUUGUCUUGCCCAGGCAGGACUCGCCUGAAAACCAUCGGUUGCCUGCACGUCGACUCCGGGCCCCCCAGUACAUUGUGGCGGCCUGUUGACGCGUGCGAGUGUGCCGCAAACCCGCCUUUUUAUUUUCUGGUUUGACCUCGGAUCAGGUAGGAGUACCCGCUGAACUUAA